Molecule: ribosomal RNA, 423 nt
Filed under: uncultured bacterium
Lineage: Bacteria
Description: bacterial SSU rRNA
Rfam family: Bacterial small subunit ribosomal RNA
Source: RNAcentral
CUAGAGACCGGCGCACGGGUGCGUUAACGCGUAUGCAAUCUGCCUUUCAACAAAGGGAUAGCCCAGAGUAAUUGGAUUAAUACCUUAUAGUAAUACGACUUGGCAUCAAGAUGUAUUUAAAGAUUUAUCGGUGAAAGAUGAGCAUGCGUCCCAUUAGCUUGUUGGUAAGGUAACGGCUUACCAAGGCAACGAUGGGUAGGGGUCCUGAGAGGGAGAUCCCCCCACACUGGUACUGAGACACGGACCAGACUCCUACGGGAGGCAGCAGUGAGGAAUAUUGGACAAUGGGCGCAAGCCUGAUCCAGCCAUGCCGCGUGCAGGAUGACGGUCCUAUGGAUUGUAAACUGCUUUUGUACAGGAAGAAACCCUUUCACGUGUGGAAGAUUGACGGUACUGUAAGAAUAAGGAUCGGCUAACUCCGUG